This 277-nucleotide long non-coding RNA is filed under the name Homo sapiens (human). RNAcentral's name for it is "HSALNT0220273". Lineage: Eukaryota; Metazoa; Chordata; Mammalia; Primates; Hominidae. The record is from RNAcentral.
ACAGAGGAGGAGACUGCAGGCAUGCUUCAGUCAGUGGGAUCCAAGGCCAGAGCCUUAAUAGCUGAGUCAUGGGCCUGGAACGUGUGAAUGAGCUGCCUUUGCCUGAUGUCAAAAAUGCAGACGUGUCCUUUCCUACCCCCCGAGAUUAGGAGUUGCUGUUUGGGUGCAUACUGCAGUACCGUGGCACCAUGAUCGUGGCACGUGAAACCUGAAGAAGAAAAACAUCAGAGAAUUUCUCAAAACAAUUUCUUGUCUUGGUAAUUAUGAUGUCUACAUC